RNAcentral lists this ribosomal RNA (497 nucleotides) under uncultured bacterium. RNAcentral's name for it is "partial 16S ribosomal RNA". It matches the Rfam family "Bacterial small subunit ribosomal RNA", at positions 28 to 507 of the family's 1533-position model. The record is from RNAcentral.
GAUGAACGCUGGCGGCGUGCCUAAUACAUGCAAGUCGAGCGAACAGACGAGGAGCUUGCUCCUCUGACGUUAGCGGCGGACGGGUGAGUAACACGUGGAUAACCUACCUAUAAGACUGGGAUAACUUCGGGAAACCGGAGCUAAUACCGGAUAAUAUAUUGAACCGCAUGGUUCAAUAGUGAAAGACGGUUUUGCUGUCACUUAUAGAUGGAUCCGCGCCGCAUUAGCUAGUUGGUAAGGUAACGGCUUACCAAGGCAACGAUGCGUAGCCGACUUGAGAGGGUGAUCGGCCACACUGGAACUGAGACACGGUCCAGACUCCUACGGGAGGCAGCAGUAGGGAAUCUUCCGCAAUGGGCGAAAGCUUGACGGAGCAACGCCGCGUGAGUGAUGAAGGUCUUCGGAUCGUAAAACUCUGUUAUUAGGGAAGAACAAAUGUGUAAGUAACUAUGCACGUCUUGACGGUACCUAAUCAGAAAGCCACGGCUAACUACGUG